UGGGGAAUCUUGGACAAUGGGCGCAAGCCUGAUCCAGCCAUGCCGCGUGGAUGAUGAAGGCCUUAGGGUUGUAAAAUCCUUUCGUUGGGGACGAUAAUGACGGUACCCAAAGAAGAAGCUCCGGCUAACUUCGUGCCAGCAGCCGCGGUAAUACGAAGGGGGCUAGCGUUGUUCGGAUUUACUGGGCGUAAAGCGCGUGUAGGCGGACUUGUAAGUUGGGGGUGAAAUCCCGAGGCUCAACCUCGGAACUGCCUCCAAAACUACAAAUCUGGACCUAAGUAGAGGCAAGUGGAAUUGCGAGUGUAGAGGUGAAAUUCGUAGAUAUUCGCAGGAACACCAGUGGCGAAGGCGACUUGCUGGACUUAUGGUGACGCUGAGACGCGAAAGCGUGGGGAGCAAACAGGAUUAGAUACCCCGGUAGUCCCUGAGCGGGCUGGCAAGGCGCAU
RNAcentral lists this ribosomal RNA (447 nucleotides) under uncultured bacterium. RNAcentral's name for it is "bacterial SSU rRNA". It matches the Rfam family "Bacterial small subunit ribosomal RNA", at positions 355 to 825 of the family's 1533-position model. The record is from RNAcentral.